Molecule: ribosomal RNA, 476 nt
Filed under: Eriococcus euphorbiae
Lineage: Eukaryota; Metazoa; Arthropoda; Insecta; Hemiptera; Eriococcidae
Description: SSU rRNA
Rfam family: Eukaryotic small subunit ribosomal RNA
Source: RNAcentral
CUAGAGCUAAUACAUGCCGACAGAGUUCCGACCAGCGCCGGAUUCGGUCCGCCGUGCCCGGUGUUCGGAAGGAACGCUCUUAUUAGAUCAAAACCGGCCAAGCGGUCGUUCGUGCUUCGGCGCGUUCGGCUGUAAGCGGCCCGCGCAAAGACUUGACGACUCUGAAUAAUUUCGAGCUGAUCGCACGGUCUCGCACCGGCGACGUAUCUUUCAAAUGUCUGCCUUAUCAACUGUCGACGGUAGGUUCGAUGCCUACCGUGGUGGUAACGGGUAACGGGGAAUCAGGGUUCGAUUCCGGAGAGGGAGCCUGAGAAACGGCUACCACAUCCAAGGAAGGCAGCAGGCGCGCAAAUUACCCACUCCCAGCUCGGGGAGGUAGUGACGAAAAAUAACGAUACGGGACUCAUCCGAGGCCCCGUAAUCGGAAUGAGUACACUUUAAAACCUUGGUCACACGAGGAUCAAUUGGAGGGCAAG